UUUUCCAUAUUUCAAAAAAAAGUACAAAACAAUAGUUAUCAUGGUAAAUUAGUUUAUUCUUCAUCUGUUUACCUUUUUUAUACCUCAAAAAAUGGUUGUCAGGGAGAACAGAGUGUACUGAUAUUAGAUUUACAACAUAACAUGUAAAAUAUUAAGGUAGAGACCGAUAGCAACCACGUGAUCAGUAAAAAUCGUGUAUUUUCACGUGAAAUUAUUUUUCGGAAUUCCGUACAUCGCCAUAGAGUAGUUGAAAAACAAAAAGGGGUUCCGAAAGUACAAGGUGUUGCUGUGACUGAAUCGAUGAUUGAGAGGGUCGUCUCGACGGAAGAUAUAGAAAUUUGGCCAUAGUUUAGAUUAGGAAUACGUCAAUGUAAUAAUAGUGGACUAAAUGUUUCGUCCGUGCAGAAUGGCACUUUUUACCUCACGAAAUUCACCACCAUGCAUAGCUGCGCUACGUAAACAAAGUUGUUAAUGUAGCGUGAUCGUGAUGUCCGAGUGCUGCGAGUUUCAAUACUGUUUAUGUAGUCAUUGAGAGUUUAAACAAAGUUUCUUCUGAGAAGAGGAAUUCGAUGGAUGCAUUCAACGUGGACAACGAAAUCAUAAUUUCGUUUGCAUCAUCCUAAGGACCAGUGCAAGUUGAAAUGGGCUUCCAGCCAACAACUUCAACAGCAAUUUGCCAUGAAAAUCAGCAAGAAAGUUACAAUAUUUUCUAUCUUAGUACUUCAUUUACAUUGAUGAUGUCAUAUCCCCUGGACCCCACAACUUUACAGGUUACAGAGAAAAUUCAAGAACUUCUGCAAAAUGUGGGACUUGGAUAGAAUCAAUAAUGUAUUUGUGAGCCCAGAGCAAUGGAUAUAUUGUGCAACAUACUAAAGUGUGAAUUUAAUGGAAAACAAGUACAUGUACUCAUGUAUUACAUGUCUUUUUUAAAGACAAUAAUAUAUGUAUAAAUAUAGAGGAAGUGUCAUUGUUGAUUAUUCUAAGUUUCUGAUAUAUCAAAAUCAGUAAACAUUUCUAAAUGAAAAUAAAAUACCAAUUUUAUAACUUUAA
Ostrea edulis (European flat oyster) is the source of this 1050-nucleotide long non-coding RNA. RefSeq lists it as uncharacterized. The record is from RefSeq and is a predicted model, not a curated record. The transcript is spliced from 3 exons. NCBI's taxonomy places the organism in Eukaryota, Metazoa, Mollusca, Bivalvia, Ostreida, Ostreidae.